UAGAUUUGCUCUUUUAUAAUUUGUCCAGUAGGUUUUGUCCGAAGAAGAAGCCCCC
This is a small nuclear RNA of Pygocentrus nattereri (red-bellied piranha), 55 nucleotides long. Its record names the gene U7. It matches the Rfam family "U7 small nuclear RNA". Rfam says of the family: Animal histone pre-mRNAs are spliced by a different mechanism than nuclear pre-mRNAs and self-splicing introns. The record is from Ensembl. NCBI's taxonomy places the organism in Eukaryota, Metazoa, Chordata, Actinopteri, Characiformes, Serrasalmidae.